CUGGUGUCACUUUGGCAGCAGAUAUACUAAAAUGGGGAUGGUACAGAGAAGAUUAGCAUGGUCCUUGCACAAGGAUGUCAUGCAAAUUUGUGAGGCAUUCCAUAUUUUU
This 109-nucleotide small nuclear RNA is filed under the name Castor canadensis (American beaver). The record is from RNAcentral. Lineage: Eukaryota; Metazoa; Chordata; Mammalia; Rodentia; Castoridae.